This is a long non-coding RNA of Canis lupus familiaris (dog), 723 nucleotides long. RefSeq lists it as uncharacterized. The transcript has 3 exons. NCBI's taxonomy places the organism in Eukaryota, Metazoa, Chordata, Mammalia, Carnivora, Canidae. The record is from RefSeq and is a predicted model, not a curated record.
CAAGCUCUCCACGGUGCCUUUCCAAGGUGAGGGGAACACCAUGCGUGUCUAGGUGACUCUGUUCCGACCAUGUGUUAUUUCUUGAUCCCGGUCUGUCAUUUUACUUACAGAUCAGGACAUAUUCUGGGAGUUGGCGGAUUAGAUUCUGGAAGAAGGAAUCCAACCCAAAAGACAAGUAGGAAUUAGGUGAGCGGCUUUAGAUUCUGGCAGCUGGACAGGGCAGGUUCAUUCAGGAUUGACAUCCUCUUGCUCCAGAUCCUACAGGCACUAAAGCAGGCCUCUCUAUGAUAUUCGGGUGGCCAUAUAUUGCAUGAAAGCAGAGCACAAGUUGAAAGAUUGACUCAGAAAAGAGGGGCGAUGCCUACUGAGGUAGGAGAGUAGGAGGAAAGACGACAUGAGGAUAUGGAUACUGAGAAUUCUCUGAUUCCAGAAAAUCUCCUCAUUCCAGCUCACAUUUUUUGCACGGCUUACUUUUAUGCUUUUGUUGGCUAAUGUAUUAAUAUAUUAAUGUAAUUUUUUGGCUAAUAUAUUUGUAGACUAGUUAAAUAUUUACAUAUUAAAUUCUUUGAGGACAGGGAAAUGCCUGUGUCUUUCAGAUCCUUUCCAGUACGUGUGGGGCCUUGAUUACCCAUUUAUUUGCCUGUGUUGGGCCACUGUAUUCUGAAGAAAAUCAGAGCUCAUUGGCUACCAACCAGAAGUAUGGUGGUCACGGAUCUGAGCAUG